This 186-nucleotide unclassified non-coding RNA is filed under the name uncultured Helotiaceae. RNAcentral's name for it is "sequence contains ITS1". The record is from RNAcentral. Lineage: Eukaryota; Fungi; Ascomycota; Leotiomycetes; Helotiales; Helotiaceae.
AUGUAACCGGACCUUACGGGUGCCGUAAAACGCAUUCGUUCGGAAAGGGAGAUAUCAUACACCCUGUGUUUAUUUACUUUUGUUGCUUUGGCGGGCCGUCCUUUUAGGCGUCGGCCCCGGCUGAUCGUGCCCGCCAGAGAACCCAAACUCUUUUAUUAGUGAUGUCUGAGUACUAUAUAAUAGUUA